RNAcentral lists this non-coding RNA (25 nucleotides) under Rattus norvegicus (Norway rat). Lineage: Eukaryota; Metazoa; Chordata; Mammalia; Rodentia; Muridae. The record is from RNAcentral.
CAGGAUGUAAAUAAAGAAGUGAUGG